AUCGCUUCUCAUCCUUAUGCCUAAGAUCAAGUGUAGUAUCUGUUCUUAUCAGUUUAAUAAUGGCAAAUAUUUUCCUUACUAAAUUGCAUAUAAUCAAAAAUCUGGAGGAAGUACAUACUCGUUUGAAUGAGUUUGCAUUGUAAUUUUUCUCUUCACGUGCUGAUUUAGAUUCUCUGCGUUGCAGAGGAUGACUG
Small nuclear RNA from Diceros bicornis minor, 194 nucleotides. RefSeq annotates it as U2 spliceosomal RNA. NCBI's taxonomy places the organism in Eukaryota, Metazoa, Chordata, Mammalia, Perissodactyla, Rhinocerotidae. The transcript has a single exon. The record is from RefSeq and is a predicted model, not a curated record.